AACGAACGCUGGCGGCAUGCCUAACACAUGCAAGUCGAACGAGACCUUCGGGUCUAGUGGCGCACGGGUGCGUAACGCGUGGGAACCUGCCCUUAGGUUCGGAAUAACUCCCCGAAAGGGGUGCUAAUACCGGAUAAUGUCUUCGGACCAAAGAUUUAUCGCCUUUGGAUGGGCCCGCGUUGGAUUAGCUAGUUGGUAGGGUAAAAGCCUACCAAGGCGACGAUCCAUAGCUGGUCUGAGAGGAUGAUCAGCCACACUGGGACUGAGACACGGCCCAGACUCCUACGGGAGGGAGCAGUGGGGAAUACUGGACAAGGGGCGAAAGCCUGAUCCAGCAAUGCCGCGGGAGUGAUGAAGGCCUUAGGGUUGUAAAGCUCUUUUACCCGGGAUGAUAAUGACAGUACCGGGAGAAUAAGCUCCGGCUAACUCCGUG
RNAcentral lists this ribosomal RNA (433 nucleotides) under uncultured bacterium. Its description in RNAcentral is "partial 16S ribosomal RNA". It matches the Rfam family "Bacterial small subunit ribosomal RNA", at positions 29 to 507 of the family's 1533-position model. The record is from RNAcentral.